CGAACGCUGGCGGCAGGCCUAACACAUGCAAGUCGAGCGAGCAUUUCGGUGCUAGCGGCGGACGGGUGAGUAACGCGUGGGAACGUGCCCUUUUCUGCGGAAUAGUCCUGGGAAACUGGGGGUAAUACCGCAUACGCCCUUUUGGGGAAAGAUUUAUCGGAGAAGGAUCGGCCCGCGUUGGAUUAGGUAGUUGGUGGGGUAAUGGCCCACCAAGCCGACGAUCCAUAGCUGGUUUGAGAGGAUGAUCAGCCACACUGGGACUGAGACACGGCCCAGACUCCUACGGGAAGCAGCAGUGGGGAAUCUUAGACAAUGGGGGCAACCCUGAUCUAGCCAUGCCGCGUGAGUGAUGAAGGCCUUAGGGUUGUAAAGCUCUUUCAGCUGGGAAGAUAAUGACGGUACCAGCAGAAGAAGCCCCGGCUAACUCCGUG
RNAcentral lists this ribosomal RNA (431 nucleotides) under uncultured bacterium. Its description in RNAcentral is "partial 16S ribosomal RNA". It matches the Rfam family "Bacterial small subunit ribosomal RNA", at positions 30 to 507 of the family's 1533-position model. The record is from RNAcentral.